Long non-coding RNA from Lolium perenne, 964 nucleotides. RefSeq lists it as uncharacterized. NCBI's taxonomy places the organism in Eukaryota, Viridiplantae, Streptophyta, Magnoliopsida, Poales, Poaceae. The record is from RefSeq and is a predicted model, not a curated record.
UUUGACAUUCUCAACCGUCGGAUCUUGCUACUGGACGUCUCAGAUCGUCACUUGGUCCCGAACUGUUUUACCGUUCCGUCCCGCACUUCCCGUCCGGCUCGUCAUUAUUGGGCUGCUUCUCCGGGGAUCGAGUUAGACAACUUCCGGUUAAACGGGCCGAUUUAAUGUCGAAGCUGCUGAUUUGUGAUGGGCCACCACACUAAAAACUUAUUUUUUGGCCUGUAGCUACGCUCUCGGAUGAUUUUCUAGCCCAACUUAGUUUUCUGCGCCUUUCUCCUUCCGUCAGGCCGCCGUCUCUUCCGCUGCUCCUCCUUCGCUGCAGUGCAAAGCAACAAAAUCGCGAUACCUCGCUCGAAAUAAAAUUCGCAAGAUGAAAAGCGGCGAAGUAAUGGUGAUGAAGAUCGUCCGUCUCCCUCCCGUUACUGUUACUAGGAGUUAAGGAUUUGUCCAAUUGGAGAUGGAUUUGGCAUGAUGGCCUCAAGAUGCAGCGGCCAUUCGAUUCCCCUUUUGCGAUUCCUCACCUCGAUCUGUCUUCCCAAUCCGAUAGGUUUGAUCCAUAUUGCUAUUUAUUCUCUUUAUUUAUGUACGCUGUAUCGACAGGAUCAGGGAUGGGCGUGGACACCUCCAGCUUCAUGGCGCUCCAGAGUACUUACUCCAUAGGAAGAUGAUGCAGGUCAAGCGCCAGAUCCCAUCUGCUCACCUCGCCAUUAUUAAGGAGAAGGUGUCGGCAAUCUUCAUUACGACAACAUUACCCAGUAGACCAUGUGGACCUUAGUGUUGCUACUUCCUUUCAAUCCGUUUGAUAAUGGUCUGAUAUCCUGUAUAUAGUUCUACAUCAGUUCAUAUGGCAUAUAUCUAUGAGAAAAGUUUCUUUUGUCUACAUAGCACAUUGCUGCCCAGUUUUAGAAGCUGCAUAAGCAUUUGGUGUAACAUAACCAUUCAUGUUUUGACAUAUUGCUUUGGA